AAAUUGAAGAGUUUGAUCAUGGCUCAGAUUGAACGCUGGCGGCAGGCCUAACACAUGCAAGUCGAACGGUAACAGGAAGCAGCUUGCUGCUUUGCUGACGAGUGGCGGACGGGUGAGUAAUGUCUGGGAAACUGCCUGAUGGAGGGGGAUAACUACUGGAAACGGUAGCUAAUACCGCAUAACGUCGCAAGACCAAAGAGGGGGACCUUCGGGCCUCUUGCCAUCGGAUGUGCCCAGAUGGGAUUAGCUUGUUGGUGGGGUAACGGCUCACCAAGGCGACGAUCCCUAGCUGGUCUGAGAGGAUGACCAGCCACACUGGAACUGAGACACGGUCCAGACUCCUACGGGAGGCAGCAGUGGGGAAUAUUGCACAAUGGGCGCAAGCCUGAUGCAGCCAUGCCGCGUGUAUGAAGAAGGCCUUCGGGUUGUAAAGUACUUUCAGCGGGGAGGAAGGGAGUAAAGUUAAUACCUUUGCUCAUUGACGUUACCCGCAGAAGAAGCACCGGCUAACUCCGUGCCAGCAGCCGCGGUAAUACGGAGGGUGCAAGCGUUAAUCGGAAUUACUGGGCGUAAAGCGCACGCAGGCGGUUUGUUAAGUCAGAUGUGAAAUCCCCGGGCUCAACCUGGGAACUGCAUCUGAUACUGGCAAGCUUGAGUCUCGUAGAGGGGGGUAGAAUUCCAGGUGUAGCGGUGAAAUGCGUAGAGAUCUGGAGGAAUACCGGUGGCGAAGGCGGCCCCCUGGACGAAGACUGACGCUCAGGUGCGAAAGCGUGGGGAGCAAACAGGAUUAGAUACCCUGGUAGUCCACGCCGUAAACGAUGUCGACUUGGAGGUUGUGCCCUUGAGGCGUGGCUUCCGGAGCUAACGCGUUAAGUCGACCGCCUGGGGAGUACGGCCGCAAGGUUAAAACUCAAAUGAAUUGACGGGGGCCCGCACAAGCGGUGGAGCAUGUGGUUUAAUUCGAUGCAACGCGAAGAACCUUACCUGGUCUUGACAUCCACAGAACUUUCCAGAGAUGGAUUGGUGCCUUCGGGAACUGUGAGACAGGUGCUGCAUGGCUGUCGUCAGCUCGUGUUGUGAAAUGUUGGGUUAAGUCCCGCAACGAGCGCAACCCUUAUCCUUUGUUGCCAGCGGUCCGGCCGGGAACUCAAAGGAGACUGCCAGUGAUAAACUGGAGGAAGGUGGGGAUGACGUCAAGUCAUCAUGGCCCUUACGACCAGGGCUACACACGUGCUACAAUGGCGCAUACAAAGAGAAGCGACCUCGCGAGAGCAAGCGGACCUCAUAAAGUGCGUCGUAGUCCGGAUUGGAGUCUGCAACUCGACUCCAUGAAGUCGGAAUCGCUAGUAAUCGUGGAUCAGAAUGCCACGGUGAAUACGUUCCCGGGCCUUGUACACACCGCCCGUCACACCAUGGGAGUGGGUUGCAAAAGAAGUAGGUAGCUUAACCUUCGGGAGGGCGCUUACCACUUUGUGAUUCAUGACUGGGGUGAAGUCGUAACAAGGUAACCGUAGGGGAACCUGCGGUUGGAUCACCUCCUUACCUUAAAGAAGC
This 1554-nucleotide ribosomal RNA is filed under the name Escherichia coli. Its description in RNAcentral is "bacterial SSU rRNA". It matches the Rfam family "Bacterial small subunit ribosomal RNA". The record is from RNAcentral. RNAcentral also lists the same sequence under 8 other names. Lineage: Bacteria; Pseudomonadati; Pseudomonadota; Gammaproteobacteria; Enterobacterales; Enterobacteriaceae.